RNAcentral lists this ribosomal RNA (253 nucleotides) under uncultured bacterium. Its description in RNAcentral is "partial 16S ribosomal RNA". It matches the Rfam family "Bacterial small subunit ribosomal RNA", at positions 524 to 776 of the family's 1533-position model. The record is from RNAcentral.
UACAGAGGGUGCAAGCGUUAAUCGGAAUUACUGGGCGUAAAGGGCGCGUAGGUUGCUAAGUAAGUUAGAUGUGAAAUGUUCGGGCUUAACCUGGAAUGGCCAUUUAAUACUGCUUAGCUAGAGUACAGUAGAGGGAAGGGGAAUUUCCGGUGUAGCGGUGAAAUGCGUAGAUAUCGGAAGGAACAUCAGUGGCGAAGGCGCCUUCCUGGACUGAUACUGACACUGAGGCGCGACAGCGUGGGGAGCGAACAGG